CACCAACCCCCCAUCAGACCCAGCAAUCUACAAGUUCCAUGCCCUGCUCCAACACUCAUCUUCCUGUGACCCCAGUAACUUCCUGAAACAUGGAAUCCACCAGCUCUCAUUGGAUCAAGAGCUCUGAAAUGUGUCGACUGUUUAGAAAUACCAUUUAUCAAGAGUUGUCCGUCACAAAAAGAAACCUGUGAAGCAAAAUUGGGCCAGAAGUGUCUCCUAACUGCAUUAUUUGUAGGUAAAUUAAAAAUAUCAAUUCAGAAAUGUGUUGAUCACUGCGUCAAUGCUACUCUCGACAGCAGUAUAACCCAAUAUGCAUGCUGCAAUUCGCAUUCUUUGUGUAACAGGCUAUAAGGCUUGGUCUUUUCUUGGCCUGUUCUACUUAGAUGACCUGUCUAUUGAAGAAAAUAGGGUCCUGAAACCACCAACUGUCUUAGUUAUGGUUUUCAUUGCUCUGAUAAAAUACCAAGACCAUAAGAGACAUGAAGACGAAAGAGUUUGCUUCAUUUCCACUUCCACGUUGCAGUCCAUCAUGAAAGGAAGUCAUGACCAAGAGGCAGGAAUGAUGUACAUUCCAUGGAGUAACAUCACUUACUGGUUUCUUCCUCAUAGAUUGCUCAAUCUGCUUCAUUAUAGCACCCAGGACCACCAGCUCAUGGGGUACACCACCCAGUGGGACAAGCCCUUCCAUAUCAAUCACCCAUUAAGAAAAUGCCCUUCAGACUUGCCUACAGCCAGGUCUGAUGGACACAUUUUUCUCUACUGUGGUACUCUCCUUCCAGAUGACUAAUUUGUGCCAAACUGACACAAAACUAGC
This is a non-coding RNA of Peromyscus maniculatus bairdii (prairie deer mouse), 814 nucleotides long. Lineage: Eukaryota; Metazoa; Chordata; Mammalia; Rodentia; Cricetidae. The record is from RefSeq and is a predicted model, not a curated record.